UCUCCGUAUGUGAACCUGUGGAGGGAUCAUUACCAGAGAUGGCGGGCCCCGCGCCCCCGUCCCCAACCCUUUGUUGACCAAAACCAUUUUGCCUCGGGGGUAGAGCGUCCGCCGCCGCCCCCGGACGACCACCGAACGCUGUCUCUGUACGUCGGAGUCUUAAUGAAAAUGAUUGAAAACUUUCAACAACGGAUCUCUUGGUUCUGGCAUCGAUGAAGAACGCAGC
RNAcentral lists this unclassified non-coding RNA (226 nucleotides) under uncultured fungus. RNAcentral's name for it is "sequence contains ITS1, 5.8S rRNA gene". The stretch from base 178 to 226 matches the Rfam family "5.8S ribosomal RNA", at positions 1 to 49 of the family's 154-position model. Lineage: Eukaryota; Fungi. The record is from RNAcentral.